UGCCAGCAGCCGCGGUAAUACGGAGAGGGCAAGCGUUGUUCGGAAUCACUGGGCAUAAAGCGCACGCAGGCGGAUUGGAAAGUCGGUUGUGAAAGCCCGGGGCUCAACUCCGGAACUGCUUCCGAAACUUCCAGUCUAGAGGAUGAGAGGGGAGAGUGGAACUUCUGGUGGAGCGGUGAAAUGCGUAGAGAUCAGAAGGAACACCGGUGGCGAAAGCGACUCUCUGGCUCAUUUCUGACGCUCAGGUGCGCAAGCUAGGAGAGCGAACGGGAUUAGAUA
Molecule: ribosomal RNA, 279 nt
Filed under: uncultured bacterium
Lineage: Bacteria
Description: partial 16S ribosomal RNA
Rfam family: Bacterial small subunit ribosomal RNA
Source: RNAcentral